AUUUAGCGAGCUGAGUGGGGAGGAGAGAGGGACAGAGAGCCUGCUUGCUUUAAAGAAGCCAACUGGACAGGAGCCGCUUACACUCGUGUAAGCGGCUCCUCUCCUCUCCUGCUUUGCUCCUUUAAAGCAAGCAGGCUUUCUGUCCCUCUCUCCUCCCCACUCAGCGGCUCUUCUC
This 175-nucleotide microRNA precursor is filed under the name Podarcis lilfordi (Lilford's wall lizard). Lineage: Eukaryota; Metazoa; Chordata; Lepidosauria; Squamata; Lacertidae. The record is from RNAcentral.